This 1370-nucleotide long non-coding RNA is filed under the name Gallus gallus (chicken). Its description in RNAcentral is "long non-coding RNA NONGGAT011660". Lineage: Eukaryota; Metazoa; Chordata; Aves; Galliformes; Phasianidae. The record is from RNAcentral.
UCCCGUGUCUGAGCCUGUUUUGAGCAGGGCUUCAGGCAAGAAAGCUCCUGGAGACCCUUUCCACCUAGCUGCCCUCAUGCUCAGUGUCAGGCAGGCCUCGUGCCAAGGCUCCCAACAAUGAUGGAGGUACUGGUGGCUGGCAGAGCCACCUCAGGUGCAUGGUCUCCUCCAGGGACAGGCCAGGCACUGCCAGAGUCCAGAGGAACAAAAUGCCCGUGCCCUCAUGACCAAGCUCACCUACACAGCAUGCAGGCAGGAGCUGACCCUGGAAGACAACCCACCACCAGCACCACCUUGCAGAUAUGACCAGCUCAGGUCACAGCCAGGACACUAACAGCCCUUUCCUCAUCCUGCAUCUCUGGGUGCUGAAAAAGGAGGGCGGCAUCUCCGAGGAUGGGAACAGGCAGGAAGAAGAGACAGCACCGAAUACGUGGGCGCUGCUCUCACUGUAGAGAACAGAGUACAAACCCUGCUGCUGCCGCCAAGCCCGGUGUCCUCAGAUGUAUCUCUGGAGCUUGCCCAGCCAGACUUCCCUGUGUCACAUGGACCAGGGGAGCCUAAGCAGGACUGGGGGCACUGCGGUAACAAGUACCAUGGCUCCUGCCUAUCUGCUCAGCCAUGCUGGGAUCUGCACACCCAAGGCAGGCUGAGCAGUGUCCCACAAAAGCCUGAGGAGGCUGCAGUAGGGCCAUGGGAGAGGUCUGUGUUUACUGCUUUUACAGCAGCCAGGGACUCGGCACCUACCAUGCAUGUAGCGAGUGGCAGAGCUCAAUGGCCUCACCUGCUGCUCUGACCUUCAAACGCUAGGUAAUUAUGUAAGAUGUGUUUCAUCAGAAAAACAGUCCCACUGCUAAGAGCCAUGGUUCCCAACCUCCCCAUCCUCCCUGGGAUGAAGCUCAACUGCCAAUGCAGGCCUUGGGAAGAGCUGAAGAUUGGGGUGCAAAUACCUCCACAAUGUGCUCCUUGACCCCAGCAGCUCACAGCCUGAGGACUUCCUGAGCCAGAAAAACCACGACUGUGCUCACCCGGUCUGCAGUGGAUCUUCUCUUUGCUUAAUUGCAUUUUGACCCCAGACAAGUUUUUCACACCUUCAGCAUCCUCCUCGCCAAAGUCAGCAGCUCCACAGGUUAAUCCUAAACUGCUGCAGGAAGCACACUCUUGCCCUGAGGUACCACUGCCAAUUUUAGCACGUGAUGGCAGCAAGCACUUUAAGGGAAGAGAGCUGGAGCAGCCAUUCCCUGCUCAGCUUCCCCCAGACACACAUGAUUUUAUUAUUCUCCGUCAUCCCUCCCUCAGUCAUCUCUUCCCCCAGACGGAAGAGAGCUAGUUUAUGUAAUUGUUCCUUGUAUGGAAACUGCUUCAUACCUUUA